UUUUAACUAACUUAGCCGUUUGGUACUCCUCCGCAAGCACGAGGUACUACUGGCUUAAGCUACUCGUAUCAAUUAGAUUCAGGCACUCCAUAUCUUUCUUUCUUGUUUAUGGUCUUCGUAUCCACGCCCCUUUUGGUAAUCUUCACCUGAUUUGACUUGAACCGCUAGGUUUUAUUUUUAUUUUUUUUGUUUUCUACGUAGAAGGGUGAUGCGGAAGAAAUAAUUGUGGUGGUCAUCGGUGGUCUCCGUCAU
RNAcentral lists this long non-coding RNA (252 nucleotides) under Nicotiana benthamiana. RNAcentral's name for it is "long non-coding RNA (NBEN_LNC019932)". Lineage: Eukaryota; Viridiplantae; Streptophyta; Magnoliopsida; Solanales; Solanaceae. The record is from RNAcentral.